GAUGAACGCUGGCGGCGUGCUUUACACAUGCAAGUCGAACGCUGAAGCCCCGUUCGGGGGCCGAUGAGUGGCGAACGGGUGAGUAACACGUGGGUAACCUACCUCGCACAUCGGGAUAAGCCCGGGAAACUGGGGUACUAAUACCGAAUAUGACUUAUCACCACAUGGUGGUAAGGUAGGAAAGUUCCGGCGGUGCGAGAUGGACCCGCGGCCUA
RNAcentral lists this ribosomal RNA (215 nucleotides) under uncultured bacterium. Its description in RNAcentral is "partial 16S ribosomal RNA". It matches the Rfam family "Bacterial small subunit ribosomal RNA", at positions 28 to 240 of the family's 1533-position model. The record is from RNAcentral.